RNAcentral lists this ribosomal RNA (639 nucleotides) under uncultured Actinomycetes bacterium. Its description in RNAcentral is "bacterial SSU rRNA". It matches the Rfam family "Bacterial small subunit ribosomal RNA", at positions 232 to 885 of the family's 1533-position model. The record is from RNAcentral. Lineage: Bacteria; Bacillati; Actinomycetota; Actinomycetes.
CGCGGCCUAUCAGCUUGUUGGUGAGGUAACGGCUCACCAAGGCAUCGACGGGUAGCUGGUCUGAGAGGAUGAUCAGCCACACUGGGACUGAGACACGGCCCAGACUCCUACGGGAGGCAGCAGUAGGGAAUCUUGCGCAAUGGGCGAAAGCCUGACGCAGCAACGCCGCGUGGGGGAUGAAUGCCUUCGGGUUGUAAACCCCUUUCAGCAGGGACGAAAUUGACGGUACCUGCAGAAGAAGGUCCGGCCAACUACGUGCCAGCAGCCGCGGUAAUACGUAGGGACCGAGCGUUGUCCGGAAUUAUUGGGCGUAAGGAGCUCGUAGGCGGUUCAGUAAGUCGGGUGUGAAAACUCAAGGCUCAACCUUGAGACGCCACUCGAUACUGCUGUGACUUGAGUCCGGUAGAGGAGUGUGGAAUUCCUGGUGUAGCGGUGAAAUGCGCAGAUAUCAGGAGGAACACCAGCGGCGAAGGCGGCACUCUGGGUCGGUACUGACGCUGAGGAGCGAAAGCAUGGGGAGCAAACAGGAUUAGAUACCCUGGUAGUCCAUGCCGUAAACGUUGGGCACUAGGUAUGGGACCAUAUCAACGGGUUCCGUGCCGUAGCUAACGCAUUAAGUGCCCCGCCUGGGGAGUACGG